RNAcentral lists this ribosomal RNA (433 nucleotides) under uncultured bacterium. RNAcentral describes it as "partial 16S ribosomal RNA". It matches the Rfam family "Bacterial small subunit ribosomal RNA", at positions 29 to 507 of the family's 1533-position model. The record is from RNAcentral.
AACGAACGCUGGCGGCAUGCCUAACACAUGCAAGUCGAACGAGACCUUCGGGUCUAGUGGCGCACGGGUGCGUAACGCGGGGGAACCUGCCCUUAGGUGCGGAAUAACUCCCCGAAAGGGGUGCUAAUACCGGAUAAUGUCCUCGGACCAAAGAUUUAUCGCCUUUGGAUGGGCCCGCGUUGGAUUAGCUAGUUGGUAGGGUAAAAGCCUACCAAGGCGACGAUCCAUAGCUGGUCUGAGAGGAUGAUCAGCCACACUGGGACUGAGACACGGCCCAGACUCCUACGGGAGGCAGCAGUGGGGAAUAUUGGACAAUGGGCGAAAGCCUGAUCCAGCAAUGCCGCGUGAGUGAUGAAGGCCUUAGGGUUGUAAAGCUCUUUUACCCGGGAUGAUAAUGACAGUACCGGGAGAAUAAGCUCCGGCUAACUCCGUG